UUAGCCGGGCGUGGUAGCGGGCGCCUAUGGUCCCAGCUACUCACGAGGCUGAGGCAGGAGAGUGGCGGGAACCCGGGAGGCGGAGCUUCCAGUGAGCUGAGAUGGCGCCACUGCACUCCAGCCUGGGCGACAGAGCAAGACUCCGUCUCAAAAAAAAAAAAAAAAGAGCUUCUGGGAAUGGGUUCCCUGCUUCAGCCUUCUGCCGUGUGAGGACACUGCAGGAUGCAGUGUUCAAGGCACUCUCUUGGAUGCAGACACUGGGCCUUCACCAGACACCAAACCUGCUGCUACCUUGAUCUUGGAUUUCCCAGCCUUCAGAACUAUACCUGAAGGCAGAGGGCGACCCUUUGACGUCUCAGGGCCAUAUAUCAGUUCCCUAACAGUGAAGCCCACAACAAGUAAUACUAGUUUGUAAUUUCUGAUAAUGACACAUGGAUUUCUGCCUAAUAUUAAUGAUCCAGUAAUUAAAAAUUUUCCUAAAAUUUUAUGAAAUGAAUCCAAACUUAUAGGUAGGAUGACUACGUAAAUAAUAGCAAAGCAGUGACCAAAAAUGCUGAGAGAAAAAAAGCAUGGGGAACAAAACCUAACAAAGAAUAUUUGUUUAUUAUCAGAGAUAAAUAAUAUAAAAUCAAAUUAAUUUACUUGUUUUUGAAAUUCAUUUUUGAAAAAGAACAAAAAUUACACACACAAAAAAGAAGCAGUAGAAUUAACACCUCAUUUUU
RNAcentral lists this long non-coding RNA (722 nucleotides) under Homo sapiens (human). RNAcentral describes it as "HSALNT0078399". Lineage: Eukaryota; Metazoa; Chordata; Mammalia; Primates; Hominidae. The record is from RNAcentral.